This 2005-nucleotide long non-coding RNA is filed under the name Homo sapiens (human). RNAcentral describes it as "HSALNT0388612". Lineage: Eukaryota; Metazoa; Chordata; Mammalia; Primates; Hominidae. The record is from RNAcentral.
GCAGUGACCUAGCGCUGGGAGAGGUCCUACCCUACUGAGUGGUGCGCUCCCACACCCGCACGCAUUUCCGCACUCGUUCCCUAGAAGCCAGCCUUGGCGGUAGUUGCCCAGAUGUUGGGACACCAGUCCCCAUCCAGAUGUUUCGCAGGAGGUUUCGUGAUGCUUACGUGUUGCAGAGUAGGGAGGCGGUUGGAGGAGGGAGAGCAGGGUAGGAGAUGCACUAGGCACUGGAACCCCCCCCCCAACCCACGCCGGGGACUCAUUCGGAGACCCUUCUGGGACAGGCACGGGAUUAGGAAGUUUAAGUAGAAAGGAUGUUUGGAAAUCGCUGUCGUGUGUGUGUGUGUGUGUGUGUGUGUGUGUGUGUGUGUGUGUCUUUCCUUCUUAUUCUUUGCCAGGUUAGCUUGGCCUGCCGGUUAACUGAGAUUAGUGUAAAGUGUCCUUAACAAAAAUCUCCAGCCUUCCAAACUGCCGAAAGUAGGUUGGGGAGGGGAAAAGAGACAGGAGAAAUUACCAGGAAGAGAGUCUGGUAAACAAAAGUUUCCUGGUCGAAACAUGUGCGUGGGAGUCAUGUGUAGGAAGUUUUAUCUGGAUAUGAGUUUGUUGGAGACGUUAGGUUUGAGAAAACUUUCCAUCUCCCCCUUUUUCCUGAAUAGAUAUAAAGCCAACAUUUGCCUUAAUUUAGGAGACAGUGUGAUUUGCUAACCUGUGACACUGAUUGUUUCGUGUUGUCAUUCACCACCGCUUUUUUAAAAGUCAAACAUCAAUUUGGAACAAAUCCAUCACUGAGGUGCACUUAUUUAAUAGUGAAAGUCUACUCGAAGUCACCCCCAACCACAUUUUCUUUGGCAAAAUGACCCACCCACCCGGGACUGGGGCGGAUAAACGCGUCUUCCAAGAAACAGCAACCGCUAGCUGGGGGAAGUGCGGGUGAGCGGUGCUGCGCUUUGCUGAAUUCUUGCCCAGGCGUUUGGAGUUCGGAAGCUCGAGAUCAAAUUCUUACUGGUCGUGUUCAGGAAGUUUUCGAUGCCUGCAACCCAGCCUCUGCGGGGCCAGAGGGCCUCCAACUCCUGGCUGCAAGCGGUUCCGGGGACAGAACAUUCCUUCCGGCUCCGACCCCAGCGCGACCCCCGGGGCUGAGUGUCACUCACGAAGUGACUCACCGGGAGCCGCCGCCCGCACUGUACUUACUUCACUGUCGGCGACGGCGGGCGCAGCGGAACCGACCUGAGCCCUGGUCCCUCGACCACUCUGUCCAGGACCAGCCACCAGCAGCCGGCCCCUCUCACUUCCUGAGUAAAUGUUCCCAAGUGUCCCCGAGUUUACGCAGCCCCACCCUGGGUCCGGUCCCCCCUCGUCGGAAGCAAACGCAGAAAGCCAGAUUGACGUUAGCACCCCUGGUUUGAAAAUGUGCCUGAGCAGCGGUAAUGGCCAGAGAGGAUUCAGAUAGCACAGCUGCCAGCACCGGACCCGUGCGCCCCGGCUGUGCUACGGGAGACUUCUUUGCAACUACUUUGAGCCCAAGACGUUUUCUUACAAAACUGUUGAGGGAGAAAUAAAUUAGACAGAGGAUUUCCCUCCCGCUUUUAUAUUCUCAGCAAUAACUUCUUUCUAGCUUUUCUUUCCGUGUCUCACUGGAACGUUGUGUUUGUUCUUCGAAGUGACUUAUUCGCUCUUAAUUUGAUAAUCUAAUCCAUUUAUUUUAAACUUCUAAAACAUGAGAACAAAUAUAUUUCUGAGCACUAGCCCGACUCUAUUUGGAAAUGUGAGGAGAAAAUAGUGUCUCCGUAGGGAGUGUCUUCAAAUUUUAUGUUAUUUAGGUGGAAAAUUCAUGUUGUAUAGGUGUGUGUUGGGCGAACUGUAGCUCCCAUGUGGCUAACUUCAGGCUUGCCUGGGUGUGAGUCUUUCAGUGUUUUAAGGAUUUUGACAAUCCCAAUAUAAAAGGUCCCUGUCCUGAGGAUUAGUAAAGUCUAAUAAGUGAGCAAUUACAAAUUGAGGCAGCUGA